RNAcentral lists this ribosomal RNA (468 nucleotides) under uncultured bacterium. RNAcentral describes it as "partial 16S ribosomal RNA". It matches the Rfam family "Bacterial small subunit ribosomal RNA", at positions 28 to 507 of the family's 1533-position model. The record is from RNAcentral.
GACGAACGCUGGCGGCGUGCUUAACACAUGCAAGUCGAACGGAAAGGCCCUGCUUUUGUUGCGUGCUCGAGUGGCGAACGGGUGAGUAACACGUGAGUAACCUGCCCUUGACUUUGGGAUAACUUCAGGAAACUGGGGCUAAUACCGGAUAGAAGCUUCUGCUGCAUGGUGGGGGUUGGAAAGUUUCGGCGGUUGGGGAUGGACUCGCGGCUUAUCAGCUUGUUGGUGGGGUAGUGACUUUCCAAGUCUGUGACGGGUAGCCGGCCUGGGAGGGUGACCGGCCACAUUGGGACUGAGAUACGGACCAGACUCCUACGGGAGGCAGCAGUGGGGAAUAUUGCACAAUGGGCGGAAGCCUGAUGCAGCAACGCCGCGUGCGGGAUGACGGCCUUCGGGUUGUAAACCGCUUUCGCAUGUGACGAAGCGUGAGUGACGGUAAUGGGUAAAGAAGCACCGGCUAACUACGUG